RNAcentral lists this small nuclear RNA (101 nucleotides) under Cervus elaphus hippelaphus. The record is from RNAcentral. Lineage: Eukaryota; Metazoa; Chordata; Mammalia; Artiodactyla; Cervidae.
GUGCUUACUUCAGAAGCACAUAUACUCCAGUUGCAAUGAUAAGAGAUUAGCAUGACCUCUGCACAAGGAUGACAUACAAAUUUGAGAAGCGGUCCAUAUUU